GCCUCUAUAGCUCAGUCGGUCAGAGCGGCGGUUUUGUAAACCGUAGGUCGAGGGUUCGAUUCCCUCUGGAGGCU
Molecule: transfer RNA, 74 nt
Filed under: Candidatus Pacearchaeota archaeon
Lineage: Archaea; Nanobdellati
Description: tRNA-Thr
Rfam family: tRNA
About the family: Transfer RNA (tRNA) molecules are approximately 80 nucleotides in length. Their secondary structure includes four short double-helical elements and three loops (D, anti-codon, and T loops). Further hydrogen bonds mediate the characteristic L-shaped molecular structure. tRNAs have two regions of fundamental functional importance: the anti-codon, which is responsible for specific mRNA codon recognition, and the 3' end, to which the tRNAs corresponding amino acid is attached (by aminoacyl-tRNA synthetases). tRNAs cope with the degeneracy of the genetic code in two manners: having more than one tRNA (with a specific anti-codon) for a particular amino acid; and 'wobble' base-pairing, i.e. permitting non-standard base-pairing at the 3rd anti-codon position.
Source: RNAcentral